GCGCCCUUGGUGUAAUAGUAACACACAAUCUAUUAAUCUUGAAGUUUCCAUCAAAGUGUUUGGAUUGGGUCCGGGGUUCGACUCCCCGAGGGCGCA
Non-coding RNA from Mycena leptocephala, 96 nucleotides. The record is from the annotation of a GenBank genome assembly. NCBI's taxonomy places the organism in Eukaryota, Fungi, Basidiomycota, Agaricomycetes, Agaricales, Mycenaceae.